CUUCCCAGAAGACAAAGAACCAUCCCCGGAGAGAGGAGGACCCCAGGAGGUGAUGUAAAACCCCAGUGGAGCAUGAGCCCUGAAGACUCUAAAUGGGCCAUCAGGAGGGUGCAGAACAGCAGAAUUUUCUCACUGUAGCGGGAAGGACGCCAUUGGAGGACCAGUGCAGGAACAGACCCUUCCGACCACGGGGACCGAAGAGCCACCAUGUUCCCCAGCUGUGCAGAUGUUGGCUGCAGAAGCAAUACUGUCACUGAUGGAGGAGGACCCCAGCUGGAUGCCAUGGGGCAGACCUCCGUCACCCAGCAAGAAGGACAAGUCACCGUGAAACAGAAAGAAACGUUCCAGACCACUUGCACGUAUCAAAUCCCCAGCUUAUAUGCUUUGUACUGGUACCAGCAGAAGAAGGGACAAGCCCCUCAGCUGGUCAUAUACCACACCAGUGCAGGCACCAAGCAGAGCGGCCGUUUCACCAUGGAGCUGAACACUGUGUGGCAAUCCAGCGUUCUGCGGCUGAAGGAAGUCGAGCUCUCUGACAGCGCCUUGUACCUCUGUGCUGUGCGUGACACCCUGGUGCAGGGAGCUACACUGGCUGUGCAACAACCCCGGAUGGGGAGGGGAUGAACAUCCUGGCUUGCUGAGGCCCUUCUGUGUUGUCUGUCCAGAAGAUAUCGAGUGGUGGAGGACAAUGAAUCCUGAGCAGCAGCUCCAUCUUCUCCUUCCUCCUGCUGCCGCUGUCUUUGCCUAGGGAUGGAGGAAGGUCUACAGAGUGCUUUCUUUCCUUGCUGCCGGGUUUGUCUGAUAGCUGAGAGCUGCUGCUCACGGAGGAGACCACGGUGGAGCAGGUGGCCCUGCACCGACGGAGGCUGCCGCCUGUGGAAGACUCCUGCCGGAGCAGA
This is a non-coding RNA of Anas platyrhynchos (mallard), 899 nucleotides long. NCBI's taxonomy places the organism in Eukaryota, Metazoa, Chordata, Aves, Anseriformes, Anatidae. The record is from the annotation of a RefSeq genome assembly.